CGGAGCGUGGCGCAGUCCGGUUAGCGCACUAGACUGGGGGUCUAGGGGCCGCCGGUUCAAAUCCGGCCGCUCCGA
Molecule: transfer RNA, 75 nt
Filed under: bacterium SM23_31
Lineage: Bacteria
Also listed under: 1 other name
Description: tRNA-Pro
Rfam family: tRNA
About the family: Transfer RNA (tRNA) molecules are approximately 80 nucleotides in length. Their secondary structure includes four short double-helical elements and three loops (D, anti-codon, and T loops). Further hydrogen bonds mediate the characteristic L-shaped molecular structure. tRNAs have two regions of fundamental functional importance: the anti-codon, which is responsible for specific mRNA codon recognition, and the 3' end, to which the tRNAs corresponding amino acid is attached (by aminoacyl-tRNA synthetases). tRNAs cope with the degeneracy of the genetic code in two manners: having more than one tRNA (with a specific anti-codon) for a particular amino acid; and 'wobble' base-pairing, i.e. permitting non-standard base-pairing at the 3rd anti-codon position.
Source: RNAcentral